This 253-nucleotide unclassified non-coding RNA is filed under the name uncultured Cytophagales bacterium. RNAcentral describes it as "contains 16S-23S intergenic spacer region". It matches the Rfam family "Bacterial small subunit ribosomal RNA", at positions 524 to 776 of the family's 1533-position model. Lineage: Bacteria; Pseudomonadati; Bacteroidota; Sphingobacteriia; Sphingobacteriales. The record is from RNAcentral.
CACGGAGGGUGCAAGCGUUGUCCGGAUUUAUUGGGUUUAAAGGGUGCGUAGGCGGUUAAAUAAGUCAGUGGUGAAAGUCUGUAGCUUAACUAUAGAAUUGCCAUUGAUACUGUUUGACUUGAGAAUAGUUGAGGUAGGCGGAAUUUAUGAUGUAGCGGUGAAAUGCAUAGAUAUCAUAAGGAACUCCGAUAGCGAAGGCAGCUUACUAAGCUAUAUCUGACGCUGAGGCACGAAAGCAUGAGUAGCAAACAGG